RNAcentral lists this ribosomal RNA (426 nucleotides) under uncultured bacterium. Its description in RNAcentral is "partial 16S ribosomal RNA". It matches the Rfam family "Bacterial small subunit ribosomal RNA", at positions 354 to 796 of the family's 1533-position model. The record is from RNAcentral.
GUGAGGAAUUUUCCGCAAUGGGCGAAAGCCUGACGGAGCAAUGCCGCGUGAAGGAUGAAGGCCUAUGGGUUGUAAACUUCUUUUCUCAGAAAAGAAUUAUGACGGUAUCUGAGGAAUAAGCAUCGGCUAACUCUGUGCCAGCAGCCGCGGUAAGACAGAGGAUGCAAGCGUUAUCCGGAAUGAUUGGGCGUAAAGCGUCUGUAGGUUGUUUAAAAAGUAUUCUGUCAAAGAUUAGGGCUUAACCCUAGAUAGGCAGAAUAAACUUUUAAGCUAGAGUUUGGUAGAGGCAGAGGGAAUUCCCGGUGGAGCGGUGAAAUGCGUAGAUAUCGGGAGGAACACCAAAGGCGAAGUCACUCUGCUGGGCCAAUACUAACACUGAGAGACGAAAGCGAGGGGAGCAAAUGGGAUUAGAUACCCCAGUAGUCC